CCUACGGGAGGCUGCAGUGGGGAAUAUUGCGCAAUGGGCGAAAGCCUGACGCAGCGACGCCGCGUGAGGGAUGAAGGUCUUCGGAUCGUAAACCUCUGUCAGCAGGGAAGAACGGUCACUGUGCUAAUCAGCAGUGAAUUGACGGUACCUGCAAAGGAAGCACCGGCUAACUCCGUGCCAGCAGCCGCGGUAAGACGGAGGGUGCGAGCGUUAAUCGGAUUUACUGGGCGUAAAGCGCUCGUAGGCGGUAUGUCAAGUCAAGGGUGAAAUCCCCGCGCUCAACGUGGGAACUGCCUUUGAAACUGGCAGACUGGAGUGUGUGAGAGGAUAGUGGAAUUCCAGGUGUAGGAGUGAAAUCCGUAGAUAUCUGGAGGAACAGCAGUAGCGAAGGCGACUAUCUGGCACAUAACUGACGCUGAGGAGCGAAAGCGUGGGUAGCAAACAGGAUUAGAUACCCCAGUAGUC
Molecule: ribosomal RNA, 465 nt
Filed under: uncultured bacterium
Lineage: Bacteria
Description: partial 16S ribosomal RNA
Rfam family: Bacterial small subunit ribosomal RNA
Source: RNAcentral